RNAcentral lists this ribosomal RNA (549 nucleotides) under uncultured bacterium. Its description in RNAcentral is "bacterial SSU rRNA". It matches the Rfam family "Bacterial small subunit ribosomal RNA", at positions 355 to 895 of the family's 1533-position model. The record is from RNAcentral.
UAGGGAAUCUUCGGCAAUGGACGGAAGUCUGACCGAGCAACGCCGCGUGAGUGAAGAAGGUUUUCGGAUCGUAAAGCUCUGUUGUAAGAGAAGAACGAGUGUGAGAGUGGAAAGUUCACACUGUGACGGUAUCUUACCAGAAAGGGACAGCUAACUACGUGCCAGCAGCCGCGGUAAUACGUAGGUCCCGAGCGUUGUCCGGAUUUAUUGGGCGUAAAGCGAGCGCAGGCGGUUAGAUAAGUCUGAAGUUAAAGGCUGUGGCUUAACCAUAGUACGCUUUGGAAACUGUUUAACUUGAGUGCAAGAGGGGAGAGUGGAAUUCCAUGUGUAGCGGUGAAAUGCGUAGAUAUAUGGAGGAACACCGGUGGCGAAAGCGGCUCUCUGGCUUGUAACUGACGCUGAGGCUCGAAAGCGUGGGGAGCAAACAGGAUUAGAUACCCUGGUAGUCCACGCCGUAAACGAUGAGUGCUAGGUGUUAGACCCUUUCCGGGGUUUAGUGCCGCAGCUAACGCAUUAAGCACUCCGCCUGGGGAGUACGACCGCAAGGUU